Bison bison bison is the source of this 96-nucleotide small nuclear RNA. NCBI's taxonomy places the organism in Eukaryota, Metazoa, Chordata, Mammalia, Artiodactyla, Bovidae. The record is from Ensembl.
UCACUUUAGCAGCACACAUACUAAACUUGUAAUAAUGCUGAGACAGCAUGGAUCCUGUGGAAAGACGACAUGAAAAAAUAAGUAUUCCAUAUUUUU